CAUACUUUUGGUCAUAUUGUGAAACUGAUGUGUUUGUUGCGCUGUGUUUUUAUUUUCCACAUGCUCUAGACUACCCUUUCUCCUAUUGGCUGUCCAGAAGUCUCCCCCAGCCAAUCAGCAGUGCAGGAGGUUCAGGUCAGCGUGGGGUCUUCAGGUCCUCCUGUGUGUAGACACGUGGACCAGUGGAGGGCGCUCUGCAGUCCAGGUGUGGUCAGUGUCCCAGUGUUUGAGGAUCCCUGACCUCCAGUACACAUCAGCAGAAGCACGAUUCUGUACUUUAUUUAAACAUGAAUAAAACUGGAUUUUUGUUAAA
Trichomycterus rosablanca is the source of this 313-nucleotide long non-coding RNA. RefSeq lists it as uncharacterized. The transcript has 2 exons. NCBI's taxonomy places the organism in Eukaryota, Metazoa, Chordata, Actinopteri, Siluriformes, Trichomycteridae. The record is from RefSeq and is a predicted model, not a curated record.